UGGGGAAUAUUGGAUAAUGGACCAAAAGUCUGAUCCAGCAAUUCUGUGUGCACGAUGACGUUUUUCGGAAUGUAAAGUGCUUUCAGUUGGGAAGAAAAAAAUGACGGUACCAACAGAAGAAGUGACGGCUAAAUACGUGCCAGCAGCCGCGGUAAUACGUAUGUCACAAGCGUUAUCCGGAUUUAUUGGGCGUAAAGCGCGUCUAGGUGGUUAUGUAAGUCUGAUGUGAAAAUGCAGGGCUCAACUCUGUAUUGCGUUGGAAACUGCAUGACUAGAGUACUGGAGAGGUAAGCGGAGCUACAAGUGUAGAGGUGAAAUUCGUAGAUAUUUGUAGGAAUGCCGAUGGGGAAGCCAGCUUACUGGACAGAUACUGACGCUAAAGCGCGAAAGCGUGGGUAGCAAACAGGAUUAGAUACCCUGGUAGUCCACGCUGUAAACGAUGAUUACUAGGUGUUGGGGGUCGAACCUCAGCGCCCAAGCUAACGCGAUAAGUAAUCCGCCUGGGGAGUACGUACGCAAGUAUG
Molecule: ribosomal RNA, 524 nt
Filed under: uncultured bacterium
Lineage: Bacteria
Description: bacterial SSU rRNA
Rfam family: Bacterial small subunit ribosomal RNA
Source: RNAcentral